CAGCAGCCGCGGUAAUACGUAGGGGGCAAGCGUUGUCCGGAUUUAUUGGGCGUAAAGAGCGUGUAGGCGGCUUGGUAGGUCCGUUGUGAAAACUCGAGGCUCAACCUCGAGACGUCGAUGGAAACCAUCUAGCUAGAGUCCGGAAGAGGAGAGUGGAAUUCCUGGUGUAGCGGUGAAAUGCGCAGAUAUCAGGAAGAACACCCGUGGCGAAGGCGGCUCUCUGGGACGUGACUGACGCUGAGACGCGAAAGCGUGGGGAGCGAACAGGAUUAGAUACCCUGGUAGUCCACGCCGUAAACGAUGGGUGCUAGGUGUGGGCGGUGUCGACUCCGUCCGUGCCGAAGCUAACGCAUUAAGCACCCCGCCUGGGGAGUACGGCCGCAAGGCUAAAACUCAAAGGAAUUGACGG
RNAcentral lists this ribosomal RNA (409 nucleotides) under uncultured soil bacterium. RNAcentral's name for it is "bacterial SSU rRNA". It matches the Rfam family "Bacterial small subunit ribosomal RNA", at positions 509 to 916 of the family's 1533-position model. The record is from RNAcentral.